RNAcentral lists this transfer RNA (70 nucleotides) under Cotesia glomerata. RNAcentral's name for it is "tRNA-Ala". Lineage: Eukaryota; Metazoa; Arthropoda; Insecta; Hymenoptera; Braconidae. The record is from RNAcentral.
GAUAGCUUAACUGGAAGAGCGCUUAGUGCGCGACCGAAAGAAACCGGGUUCGAUCCCCGGCUCGGAACCG